CAGCCGCCGCGGGAACACGAAGGGUGCAAGCGUUAAUCGGAAUUACUGGGCGUAAAGCGUGCGUAGGCGGUUUGUUAAGUCUGUUGUGAAAUCCCCGGGCUCAACCUGGGAAUGGCAAUGGAUACUGGCAAGCUAGAGUGUGUCAGAGGAUGGUGGAAUUCCCGGUGUAGCGGUGAAAUGCGUAGAGAUCGGGAGGAACAUCAGUGGCGAAGGCGGCCAUCUGGGACAACACUGACGCUGAGGCACGAAAGCGUGGGGAGCAAACAGGAUUAGAUACCCCCGUAGUCCCUGUCUCUUAUAC
Molecule: ribosomal RNA, 301 nt
Filed under: uncultured bacterium
Lineage: Bacteria
Description: partial 16S ribosomal RNA
Rfam family: Bacterial small subunit ribosomal RNA
Source: RNAcentral